UCCUGGUUAGCUCAGUUAGUAGAGCGCUCCACUGGAAAUCGAGAGGUCCCGGGUUCGAUACACGGGCCAGAUG
This 73-nucleotide transfer RNA is filed under the name Ixodes scapularis (black-legged tick). It matches the Rfam family "tRNA". Rfam says of the family: Transfer RNA (tRNA) molecules are approximately 80 nucleotides in length. The record is from Rfam by way of RNAcentral. Lineage: Eukaryota; Metazoa; Arthropoda; Arachnida; Ixodida; Ixodidae.